Small nuclear RNA from Alligator mississippiensis (American alligator), 187 nucleotides. RefSeq annotates it as U2 spliceosomal RNA. The transcript has a single exon. The record is from RefSeq and is a predicted model, not a curated record. Lineage: Eukaryota; Metazoa; Chordata; Crocodylia; Alligatoridae.
AUAACUCUUAACAUCCACUAAUAAAAUUCAAAUCUGUUCUUAUCAGUUUAAUUGCUGAUAACAUCCUUGAUGGGAACACUGAUGCAUUAAAAGCAUUCUUGGCACAGGGAGAGGGCCUCCAGGUUUGCUUCAACCACUCCAGGUAUCAGCCUAGUAUUGCAGUGCUGCUGAGCCAGAUGCCUGCUCC